AUGCUUCGUUCGCUAACGGGGAUCAAUCUCAGAGACAAUGAGGGGCUGACUGGCAAGGUUCCUGAGUUCUUUGCUGAGUUUCCUUCCUUGAGCAUUCUUUAUAUUCCAGGAACUUCGUUUAAAGGGCAGUUUCCAACAAAAAUCUUUGAGAUGAAAAGUUUGAGGAUGCUAGAUUUAUCUUGGAACCCCAAUUUGUCUGUGUGUGUACCAGGUUUGCCAGUUGGAAGUAGUAAUUUGGAAGAGUUAAAUCUAGCAAUGGUCAACCUUACUUGUGAUAUAGCACCCUCACUUGCCAAUCUCAAGUCUCUGAAAAAUCUGGGCCUUAGUACAACAGGAAUUUCCAAGAGGCUCUCUUCGAUAAAUAACCUUCCAUUGUUGAGUGAACUGCAACUCUAUGGACAUGACUUUGAGAAGUCAGUGUUUUCUUGGAUUGGCAGUCUUAAGCAGCUGACAUCUUUGGAGCUAGAAGGGUAUGAAUUCUCUCAAUCAGUGCCCUCUUGGAUCGGCAAUAUGUCAUCUUUAGCAAGUUUGGAAAUCUUUGGAUGCAAUUUCCCUGGGCCCAUACCUUACCAGAUUGGCAUAUUUGGAGCUAGAAGGGUAUGA
RNAcentral lists this ribosomal RNA (603 nucleotides) under Triticum aestivum (bread wheat). Its description in RNAcentral is "partial small subunit ribosomal RNA". Lineage: Eukaryota; Viridiplantae; Streptophyta; Magnoliopsida; Poales; Poaceae. The record is from RNAcentral.